CACUGGUCUCCCGUCAGGGAGAUAAUAAGGAACCGGGUGAGAACCCCGGACGGAGCCGCCGCUGUAAUUGGGGAGCAUUUCCCAUAAUGUCACUGGAGAGAUCCGGGAAGACGGGAAAAUGCGCUGAUCCAAGAGUCAGAAGACUUGCCUGUGCCG
RNAcentral lists this non-coding RNA (156 nucleotides) under bovine gut metagenome. The record is from RNAcentral.